Long non-coding RNA from Aquila chrysaetos chrysaetos, 126 nucleotides. RefSeq lists it as uncharacterized. The transcript is spliced from 3 exons. Lineage: Eukaryota; Metazoa; Chordata; Aves; Accipitriformes; Accipitridae. The record is from RefSeq and is a predicted model, not a curated record.
GGAGAAAACAGCUCACAAUGAAACAGACAUUUAAAACUGAAGAAUAUUUACAAAAGUAGCAUUUAUUUGUUGUUGACUAUUCAGCAUUCUACUACUUAUUAAGUGUAUAUACUUACUUAAUUAAGU